GAUGAACGCUGGCGGCGUGCUUAACACAUGCAAGUCGAACGAUAAAGCCCAGAUUGCUGGGUGGAUUAGUGGCGAACGGGUGGGUAACACGUGAGUACACUGCCCUUAACUCUGGGAUAAGCCUGGGCAACUGGGUAUAAUACCGGAUAGGAGCGUCCACCGCAUGGUGGGUGUUGGAAAGAUUAUUCGGUUUUGGCUGGACUGGCGGCCUAUCAGCUUGUUGGUGAGGUAGGGGCUAACGAAGGCCAAGACGGGUAGCCGGCCUGAGAGGGGGACCGGGGACACUGGGACUGAGAGACGGCCCAGACUCCUACGGGAGGCAGCAGUGGGGAAUAUUGCACAAUGGGCGCAAGCCUGAUGCAGCGACGCCGCGUGAGGGAUGACGGCCUGCUGGUUGUAAACCUCUGUCAGUAGGGAAGAAGCGAAAGUGACGGUACCUGCAGAAGAAGCACCGGCUAACUACGUG
This 466-nucleotide ribosomal RNA is filed under the name uncultured bacterium. RNAcentral describes it as "partial 16S ribosomal RNA". It matches the Rfam family "Bacterial small subunit ribosomal RNA", at positions 28 to 507 of the family's 1533-position model. The record is from RNAcentral.